GACCCUAUAAGGCAGUGAAGCUCUGUGAACAGCAAAGAUAGAGUUUUGAAAGAUUUCUUGUUCUUGGCGACAUGGGGAUUUCACAAACAGGAAAAACUGCUUUUACUUUUCCUAAAGAGGAACCAUUUAUGCCUCAUGAUGCAUUGAUGCCUGGAACUGGGCUCGCUUUAAAGUAGAGCGGAAAUGUAAGAAAUGCUCUUAGCAGAGGACAAGCAGAGUUUUAACCUUACUGGUGUGAAUCCUGAGGAAACACGCAGCGUGGGUGUGAGAUGAGGGGAAACCCUAUCGUUACAACUGCCAAAAGCAAAACAAGACCUAUGAUGUUUCCUAGCGCUUUGUGUAUCAACUCAAGCAGAAGGCAGAAAGAUGUCACAGUGGAGGAGGAUCAACACAACACAUUACUGCUGUGUCAUUACUCAACUCCUAGAGAACACAAUGGAAAACUUCUGAUUAAUGACUUGGAGAGUUGGAGGAAUUGUUGUGAUCUUAUGAAAGAUCAACGAAGACUGUCAGUCUCUGUCACACUCAGUAUGAACUAGGGCAGACCACAUCACUGAUGUGCUUUUUCUAUCUAAAAGAAUAUGUGAUCUGAAGAAAACCAAGAUAAUAAAUCCCCAGAGAAAUACCAGGUCUUCUCCCAGAAGAAUGCUUAAAAUUCUGAAAUACUUGAAUAUUAUCUAGGCCCUGAGUGGGCUGGAAAUAAUGGCAUUUUUGAGGCCCUAGGCUGUUACUUAUCUGUACAGACUCCUCCAAGGAGGAGAUUUUGACAGCUGACUCUUUUACCCCUUAAAAUCUCAUCCUUCAGUUGGGUAGGAAAGAUAACUCUUGUCUGUAGCUCUCAAGGGAUCCAUGAAUGGGUUUGUUUUCACACAUGGCCAGGCCUUUAAAGAUAGCUUAGCAAAUGGACUAUUUGAUACAACAAUCCUUUCUCAGCAGCUGGCAAAGGAGAGGUCUGUGGUAGAGGUCAGAUCUUGGUGCAGCACAUCCACAGCAGGGAUUUCUGAAGAUACUGUAGCUGGAGCAUCCUGCAGCAUAGACAUUUCAGAUGUCUCAUUCUAAGGGAAGAGGACAGGAAGAAGUAGGUCAGAAAGUAAAGCUUGGAGGCUGGUGCCUGUCACAAGGAUCCAUUGUCUUUCAACAUCGCAUCAAUAGUGUUUUGUUUUAGCUAUUGCUACUAGCAAUAGAGAAGGACAAGAGAAGUGGUGUGAGGUGAGAAAGAAGUGUCUGCCAUGCUGAAGAUUUUCUUUUGCUUUGUCUCACCCAUUCAGACUGCUUACAGACUGCUUGACAUAUAGUUAGUGACUUUCUAUGUACACAGGCAAUGUCCAGCACACCCUGAGUGCAAAUAUGAUUACUUUGGAUCCAAUUGUUUCACUAGCAAGGGACUUCCUUUGCAUCAUGGCUACUGUCCUAAGCACUAUGAUGAAAACAUCAGUUCCUUGAAUGCUAAACUGUAAUUCCUUCAAUGUAGCAAGAAAAUAGCUAGACUUUUAUCAUCUGCAUUCUUUUAUCUCUAUGAAAAAGAAUGACUAAAUCCUCCAAAGUGUAACCUCAGUCUUAUGAAGGAAUAGAAGCUUCAACAGAAAAAGAACACAACUUUCCCUAUCAUAAGAAGAGGAGACAAGGAAGUUUCCAUAGGGCAACUUUGAAUCAGUGGGAAACCUCUUAACAAUCCUGAAUUCAAACCAGGCACCAUGCACACCCCCUAUGAUUUGUUAAAAUCACAAGUAAAUCCUUUUGUUAUUCUGGAGCUCUUCUGUCAGUAUCAUUUUCUGUUGGGGGAGGAAAAAAAAAAAAAGAAAGUGGAACACUGUCAUGAAAAACUCUGAGUAAAAAUGAGUCAGAAAAGGAAAAAGGCAACUAUGUAAAAUAGACCCUUAGGAAGCCAGUGACUUUUUUCCUUAAAAAUUUCCUUAAAAAUUAAUCAUUACAUUUCUUGAGAAUGUUUAAAUUUCUUCCUGUAGAUGCAAGUU
Molecule: long non-coding RNA, 1973 nt
Organism: Lagopus leucura (white-tailed ptarmigan)
Lineage: Eukaryota; Metazoa; Chordata; Aves; Galliformes; Phasianidae
Exons: 4
Source: RefSeq, a predicted model, not a curated record